UACGUAGGGUGCAAGCGUUGUCCGGAAUUAUUGGGCGUAAAGAGCUCGUAGGCGGCUUGUCGCGUCGACUGUGAAAACCUGGGGCUUAACUCCGGGCCUGCAGCCGAUACGGGCAAGCUAGAGUUCGGUAGGGGAGACUGGAGUUCCUGGUGUAGCGGUGAAAUGCGCAGAUAUCAGGAGGAACACCGGUGGCGAAGGCGGGUCUCUGGGCCGAAACUGACGCUGAGGAGCGAAAGCGUGGGGAGCAAACAGG
This 253-nucleotide ribosomal RNA is filed under the name uncultured bacterium. Its description in RNAcentral is "partial 16S ribosomal RNA". It matches the Rfam family "Bacterial small subunit ribosomal RNA", at positions 524 to 776 of the family's 1533-position model. The record is from RNAcentral.